Molecule: long non-coding RNA, 205 nt
Organism: Malaclemys terrapin pileata
Lineage: Eukaryota; Metazoa; Chordata; Testudines; Emydidae
Exons: 3
Source: RefSeq, a predicted model, not a curated record
UUGGAAGGUGUGACUGGCACGGACAACCGAACGUGGGUCUCUGUGGAUGACGUGUCCCUGGAUCCUGGUUGCUGUUUGGGAGAAGCCCCGACUACUUCAAGUCCAACUACAGUGGGCACCAGUCCAUCAGGUUCUACAACAGUGCAAGGAACAUCUCCUGCUUCAGAGACCACGCCGUCCCACACAAUAAGCACCACAGCAGAAG